GACGAACGCUGGCGGCGUGCUUAACACAUGCAAGUCGAGCGGUAAGGCCCUUUCGGGGGUACACGAGCGGCGAACGGGUGAGUAACACGUGGGUGACCUGCCCUCAGCUCUGGGAUAAGCCUGGGAAACCGGGUCUAAUACCGGAUAUGACUCCAUGACGCAUGUUGUGGGGUGGAAAGCCUUGUGCGGCUGAGGAUGGGCCCGCGGCCUAUCAGCUUGUUGGUGGGGUGAUGGCCUACCAAGGCGACGGCGGGUAGCCGGCCUGAGAGGGCGACCGGCCACACUGGGACUGAGACACGGCCCAGACUCCUACGGGAGGCAGCAGUGGGGAAUCUUGCGCAAUGGGCGAAAGCCUGACGCAGCGACGCCGCGUGA
Molecule: ribosomal RNA, 375 nt
Filed under: uncultured bacterium
Lineage: Bacteria
Description: bacterial SSU rRNA
Rfam family: Bacterial small subunit ribosomal RNA
Source: RNAcentral